Molecule: unclassified non-coding RNA, 390 nt
Filed under: fungal sp.
Lineage: Eukaryota; Fungi
Description: partial internal transcribed spacer region
Rfam family: Eukaryotic small subunit ribosomal RNA (bases 1-46)
Source: RNAcentral
AAGUCGUAACAAGGUUUCCGUAGGUGAACCUGCGGAAGGAUCAUUAACACGUAUCCAAACGUUAAAACCCCCCCCGUGAACCUUCAUCCUGCUCUUGUAACCCGCGUAGUUCGCAAUCUCUGAUAAAUCAUAGCCCGGAAAGUUGUAGUGAUUCAGAGACCUCUGGCUACGUGCGAACAUUGGAACAGUUACAAUCGAGCGGUAGUUCUAUAGGCAAUGUUUCCCCAAGCAGUCAGUGUCGGAAAGUGUCAUUGAUUGUGCUUGGAUAGCGCUUCUACGAUUCCUGUAGACCGUACACUCGGGCAGGAGCUUUGCCAAAGGGUCGCCAUGCCCCCUAGUAACCCCACAGUUUAAUGACCGAACAACUGUUAACAAUGGAUAUCUUGGUUU